This 802-nucleotide ribosomal RNA is filed under the name uncultured bacterium. RNAcentral's name for it is "bacterial SSU rRNA". It matches the Rfam family "Bacterial small subunit ribosomal RNA", at positions 8 to 796 of the family's 1533-position model. The record is from RNAcentral.
AGAGUUUGAUCCUGGCUCAGGACGAACGCUGACGGUGUGCUUUAGGCAUNNAAGUCGAACGAGAAAGCCCUUCGGGGUGAGUAAAGUGGCGAACGGGUGAGUAACACGUGGGCAACCUGCCCCUCGCAGGGGGACAACCGGAGGAAACUCCGGCUAAUACCCCGUAAGCUCUACACGCCGCAUGGCGAGUAGAGGAAAGGUAGCUUCGGCCAUCCGGCGAGGGAUGGGCCCGCGGUGCAUUAGCUAGUUGGUGGGGUAACGGCCCACCAAGGCGACGAUGCGUAGCUGGUCUGAGAGGAUGAUCAGCCACACUGGGACUGAGACACGGCCCAGACUCCUACGGGAGGCAGCAGCCAGGAAUCUUGGGCAAUGGGCGAAAGCCUGACCCAGCAACACCGUGUGGGUGAUGAAGGCCUUCGGGUCGUAAAGCCCUGUUGAUAGGGACGAAGGGCGAAGGGUUAAUAGCCCAGAGCUUGACGGUACCUUUCGAGGAAGCCCCCGGCUAACUACGUGCCAGCAGCCGCGGUAAUACGUAGGGGGCGAGCGUUGUCCGGAAUUAUUGGGCGUAAAGAGCGUGUAGGCGGUUCGGUAAGUCUGUCGUGAAAUCCUGGGGCUCAACCCUGGGCGUGCGAUGGAUACUGCCGGGCUAGAGGGUGGUAGAGGCGAGUGGAAUUCCCGGUGUAGCGGUGAAAUGCGCAGAUAUCGGGAGGAACACCAGUAGCGAAGGCGGCUCGCUGGGCCACACCUGACGCUGAGACGCGAAAGCUAGGGGAGCGAACAGGAUUAGAUACCCUAGUAGUCC